Triticum aestivum (bread wheat) is the source of this 125-nucleotide non-coding RNA. NCBI's taxonomy places the organism in Eukaryota, Viridiplantae, Streptophyta, Magnoliopsida, Poales, Poaceae. The record is from Rfam.
UUGGCACUCCCUCCGUCCGAAAAUACUUAUCAUGAAAAUGACUAAAAGUGGAUGUAUCUAAUACUAAAAUAUGUCUAGAUACGUCCAUUCCUCCGACAAGUAUUUUCGAACGGAGGGAGUACAUC